UAUAAGUGACACCGUAAGUUUUCGUGCCUAACUUUAAUCGUCUAUCUUAUUUAAAUUUUUUUAUAAUUAGUAUUUUUAUUGUUAUGAGAUGAUAAAAUACUUUACUCAUGACUUAUGUUUUUAAAUUUUUUUAAAAAAAUCUUCAAAUAAGAUGGACGGUUAAAAUUGGACACGGAAAAUCAUAGCUACAUUUAAA
Oryza sativa Japonica Group (Japanese rice) is the source of this 196-nucleotide microRNA precursor. It matches the Rfam family "MIR812 microRNA precursor family". Lineage: Eukaryota; Viridiplantae; Streptophyta; Magnoliopsida; Poales; Poaceae. The record is from Rfam.